UACUUGUACCUUUUGCAUCAUGAUUGAGCUAGAAAAUUUGAAGCGAAGAGUCCUUUAGUUUCAACCCCCGAAACCAGACGAGCUACUCCGAGACAGCCUAUUAGGGCCUAACCCGUCUCUGUGGCAAAAGAGUGGGAUGAGCUCCGAGUAGAGGUGACAAGCCUACCGAGCCUGGUUAUAGCUGGUUGCCUAGGAAAUGAAUAGAAGUUCAGCCCCCAAGAUUUCCCACCCACCCCCAUGGCUCAAGAAAACUUAGGAAGUUAGUUAAAGAAGGUCCAGCUUCUUUAAAACAAGACACAACUUUUCCAGGAGACAAAAGAUCAUAUUUAUAGAAGGAACCUUAUUUUAGUGGGCCUAAAAGCAGCCACCUAAACAAAAAGCGUUAAAGCUUAAAUAAGACUUACCCUAUUAUCCCGAUAACUUAUCUUUUACCCUCUUACUACUAGGCUCCUCCAUGCCCCCAUUGAGAAAAUAAUGCUUAUAUGAGUAAUAAGGGGCACAUGACCCCCUCCGCGCACACG
RNAcentral lists this ribosomal RNA (521 nucleotides) under Harpadon nehereus (Bombay duck fish). RNAcentral describes it as "partial 16S ribosomal RNA". It matches the Rfam family "Bacterial large subunit ribosomal RNA", at positions 596 to 1345 of the family's 2925-position model. Lineage: Eukaryota; Metazoa; Chordata; Actinopteri; Aulopiformes; Synodontidae. The record is from RNAcentral.